RNAcentral lists this ribosomal RNA (485 nucleotides) under uncultured bacterium. Its description in RNAcentral is "partial 16S ribosomal RNA". It matches the Rfam family "Bacterial small subunit ribosomal RNA", at positions 29 to 507 of the family's 1533-position model. The record is from RNAcentral.
AUUGAACGCUGGCGGCAUGCCUUACACAUGCAAGUCGAACGGCAGCACGGGUGCUUGCACCUGGUGGCGAGUGGCGAACGGGUGAGUAAUACAUCGGAACAUGUCCUGUAGUGGGGGAUAGCCCGGCGAAAGCCGGAUUAAUACCGCAUACGAUCUACGGAUGAAAGCGGGGGCCGUGGGGCCUCGGCCCUUGCGGGUUGGCGAUGGCCGAUUAGCUAGUUGGUGGGGUAAAGGCCUACCAAGGCGACGAUCAGUAGCUGGUCUGAGAGGACGACCAGCCACACUGGGACUGAGACACGGCCCAGACUCCUACGGGAGGCAGCAGUGGGGAAUUUUGGACAAUGGGCGAAAGCCUGAUCCAGCAAUGCCGCGUGUGUGAAGAAGGCCUUCGGGUUGUAAAGCACUUUUGUCCGGAAAGAAAUCCUUGGCCCUAAUACGGUCGGGGGAUGACGGUACCGGAAGAAUAAGCACCGGCUAACUACGUG